Molecule: ribosomal RNA, 400 nt
Filed under: uncultured bacterium
Lineage: Bacteria
Description: bacterial SSU rRNA
Rfam family: Bacterial small subunit ribosomal RNA
Source: RNAcentral
UGAGGAAUAUUGGACAAUGGGGGAAACCCUGAUCCAGCAAUGCCGCGUGAGUGAAGAAGGCCUUCGGGUUGUAAAGCUCUUUUACAGGUGAAGAUAAUGACGGUAACCUGAGAAUAAGCUCCGGCUAACUUCGUGCCAGCAGCCGCGGUAAUACGAAGGGAGCUAGCGUUGUUCGGAAUUACUGGGCGUAAAGGGUGCGUAGGCUGUUUAAUAAGUUAGAUGUGAAAGCCUCGGUUUCAAGCUGAGAAUAGCAUUUAAUACUGUUAGACUAGAGGAUAAGAGAGGAUAGUGGAAUUCUGAGUGUAGAGGUAAAAUUCGUAGAUAUUCGGAGGAACACCAGAGGCGAAAGCGUCUAUCUGGAUUAAUCCUAACGCUGAGGCACGAAAGUAUGGGGAGCAAA